This 300-nucleotide ribosomal RNA is filed under the name Triticum aestivum (bread wheat). RNAcentral describes it as "partial small subunit ribosomal RNA". The record is from RNAcentral. Lineage: Eukaryota; Viridiplantae; Streptophyta; Magnoliopsida; Poales; Poaceae.
GUGUCAGCCAGGGUAACAGUUGGCAACAAGAGAUGGAUCCCUCCACCACCCGGACAUUUCAAAUUCAAUGUGGAUGCAGGAGUAUCAAUUAAUGGAAACUUGGGAACUGCAACUGUGGUAUGUCGAGAUGAGAAAGGAAUUUAUAUGGGAUUAUCCUCUCUGGUCAUUAGGGGAUUAACUGAUCCGGCGUCACUUGAAGCAACAGCUUGCCGCGAGGCGCUAGCACUGGCCACUGACCUUGGUAUUCAACACUUGUGCGUCGCGUAUGAUUGCAAGCCGGCGGUCAACCUAUUGACAUAG